Molecule: ribosomal RNA, 252 nt
Filed under: uncultured bacterium
Lineage: Bacteria
Description: partial 16S ribosomal RNA
Rfam family: Bacterial small subunit ribosomal RNA
Source: RNAcentral
UACGGAGGAUCCAAGCGUUAUCCGGAAUCAUUGGGUUUAAAGGGUCCGUAGGCGGUUUGGUAAGUCAGUGGUGAAAGCCCAUCGCUCAACGGUGGAACGGCCAUUGAUACUGCCAGACUUGAAUUAUUAGGAAGAACUAGAAUAUGUAGUGUAGCGGUGAAAUGCUUAGAGAUUACAUGGAAUACCAAUUGCGAAGGCAGGUUACUACUAAUGGAUUGACGCUGAUGGACGAAAGCGUGGGUAGCGAACAGG